RNAcentral lists this unclassified non-coding RNA (422 nucleotides) under Hevea brasiliensis (rubber tree). Lineage: Eukaryota; Viridiplantae; Streptophyta; Magnoliopsida; Malpighiales; Euphorbiaceae. The record is from RNAcentral.
GAAAGCUGAGAGAUAUCUCCAAUGGCGUCUUCUAAUUCCUCUAACAAUUCGAUACUUCCAGUUUCCAUUUCUCCAAGCGGCGAAGAGAAGCAGAAGGAGAGACUCAUCAAAGGAGGCGAUGAGAAGCUUUUUAGAGGAUCUGCAAUGACUAAAAGAGGAGCCUAUGCUGCAAUUUCUUAUAUGUCUUGUGCUGUGCUUUUGGUAAUGUUCAACAAAGCAGCUCUUUCUUCUUAUAACUUCCCUAGUGUGAAUGUUAUAACACUAUUUCAGAUGAUAAGUUCAUGCUCUUUUCUAUAUGCAUUGAGACGCUGGAAGAUCAUCUCUUUCACCACUGGUGAAUCUUUACCUAUUUCUGAUUUCUCAUAGCAACACUACUUUUGUACCAUUUGAGACAUAGGUAAAGAUUCACUAGCAGUGAAAGA